GGUAGCAUAAUCAUUAGUCUUUUAAUUGGAGACUGGUAUGAAUGGCUAAACGAGAGAUCAACUUUUUUUACCGUAAAAAUUGAAUUUAACUUUUUAGUGAAAAGGCUAAAAUUUUUCAGAAAGACGAGAAGACCCUAUAGAGUUUUAUAAAGGACUAAUACUUUUUAUUUGGAUUUUUAUAAAAAAUAUUAAUAAAUUUAUUUUGUUGGGGCGACAUUUAGAUAAAAAAAACUCUUUAUAAGAAAAAUUUUUAUGAAAAUAUGGAUUGAUCCUUAAAAAAAGAUCAUAAGAAAAAAUUACCUUAGGGAUAACAGCGUAAUCUUUUUUGAGAGUUCUAAUCGACAAGAAGGUUUGCGACCUCGAUGUUGGACUAAAAUUAGGGCAGGGU
RNAcentral lists this ribosomal RNA (388 nucleotides) under Chelonibia caretta. Its description in RNAcentral is "partial 16S ribosomal RNA". It matches the Rfam family "Archaeal large subunit ribosomal RNA", at positions 2032 to 2625 of the family's 2987-position model. Lineage: Eukaryota; Metazoa; Arthropoda; Thecostraca; Balanomorpha; Chelonibiidae. The record is from RNAcentral.